UGGGGAAUCUUGCGCAAUGGGCGAAAGCCUGACGCAGCGACGCCGCGUGAGUGAUGAAGGCCUUCGGGUUGUAAAGCUCUGUGGGGCGAGACGAAUAAGUGCAGCCUAAUACGUUGCAUGAUGACGGUAUCGCCUUAGCAAGCACCGGCUAACUCUGUGCCAGCAGCCGCGGUAAGACAGAGGGUGCAAACGUUGUUCGGAAUUACUGGGCGUAAAGCGAGUGUAGGCGGUCUGAUAAGUCGGGUGUGAAAGCCCUGGGCUCAACCCAGGAAGUGCACUCGAAACUGCCAGGCUAGAGUAUCGGAGAGGUUGGUGGAAUUCUCGGUGUAGAGGUGAAAUUCGUAGAUAUCGAGAGGAACACCGGUGGCGAAGGCGGCCAACUGGACGAAUACUGACGCUGAGACUCGAAAGCGUGGGGAGCAAACAGGAUUAGAUACCCCCGUAGUCC
Molecule: ribosomal RNA, 448 nt
Filed under: uncultured bacterium
Lineage: Bacteria
Description: bacterial SSU rRNA
Rfam family: Bacterial small subunit ribosomal RNA
Source: RNAcentral